UGUAGUCAUAUGCUUGUCUCAAAGAUUAAGCCAUGCAUGUCUAAGUAUAAGCAAUCUAUACAGUGAAACUGCGAAUGGCUCAUUAAAUCAGUUAUCGUUUAUUUGAUAGUACCUUACUACUUGGAUAACCGUGGUAAUUCUAGAGCUAAUACAUGCUAAAAACCUCGACUUCGGAAGGGGUGUAUUUAUUAGAUAAAAAACCAAUGCCCUUCGGGGCUCCUUGGUGAUUCAUGAUAACUUAACGAAUCGCAUGGCCUUGUGCCGGCGAUGGUUCAUUCAAAUUUCUGCCCUAUCAACUUUCGAUGGUAGGAUAGUGGCCUACCAUGGUUUCAACGGGUAACGGGGAAUUAGGGUUCUAUUCCGGAGAGGGAGCCUGAGAAACGGCUACCACAUCCAAGGAAGGCAGCAGGCGCGCAAAUUACCCAAUCCCGACACGGGGAGGUAGUGACAAUAAAUACUGAUACAGGGCUCUUUUGGGUCUUGUAAUUGGAAUGAGUACAAU
RNAcentral lists this ribosomal RNA (502 nucleotides) under uncultured eukaryote. RNAcentral's name for it is "SSU rRNA". It matches the Rfam family "Eukaryotic small subunit ribosomal RNA", at positions 21 to 524 of the family's 1831-position model. The record is from RNAcentral.